This 1204-nucleotide long non-coding RNA is filed under the name Homo sapiens (human). RNAcentral's name for it is "HSALNT0289918". Lineage: Eukaryota; Metazoa; Chordata; Mammalia; Primates; Hominidae. The record is from RNAcentral.
GAAGAAGGUGCUUGUUUCUUCUUUGCCUUCUGCCAUGAUUGCCAUGUGAAUCGCACCCCUGGAACUGUGCAGGGCCCACCUGUGUGGCCACACGCAGUGACCCUGAGCAAAGGAGUGACCACAGAAGUGCAUGGCAAAGCAGAAAGGUGUGACGUCUUGGAGGACGCGGGAGGAAAGCACGCCCAGCGGACAGGAGCCAUCACGCGGCUGCGGGCUGCUGCUGAGAACCUGGCGUGGGCCACCGUCGUCAGCAGCGUGGAGGGAGCCGAGGAGCAUGGACACCGUCUUCUCCUUCCAGCAGGCACAGGUAUGGAAGGAGACUGAGGCUGGUCUUGGAUGGACACUUGUUAUUGCAGUCAGAGUCCAUCUGGAUAAUCCUGGAUAAAUCUCAUCUGGAGAUCCUUCACCAGAUCACAUCGGCAAUGACCUGUUCCCCAAAUAAGGCCCUGUGCACAGGUUCUGGGGGACAUAUCUUGUAAUUGAAGACGUCUCACCAUAGCGGCCAGCCGUGCAACCACUGGGCCUGUCUGUGCCUGAACAACACACUGGCCUGCCUUUGCCUGAACAAGACAGCCUUAGUCUCAAAGCUUGCAGAUGGGUGUGGCCUGGUAGAAAAUUCUCAAGACAACGGCGGAGCACGCUUGCCCCUAGGAGACCAAGUGGCCGGAAUGUUGAGAAUCAGCCUUUCGCAGAAAUCCCCUAAGCGGGAGGCAGCAGGCUGACUCCAUCAGCCCCAGGCAGGCUUCUGGGCCCUGCAGCUAUGGCUCUUCAUCCUUUUACAUGUUCUUCGAGAAUCAGCUGCACCCUGGAUGCUUCUGACAGCUCAGAGGACAUCAGCAUGAGGACAAGCACAGGGCUUGAUGGCUCGGAGGGAAAUGGAGUUGGAAGAUUUGGACUUAAUGUGCACACAUUUUAGAAAUAUCUUAACAAAUUUUAUUUUGCUGAUAUCUUUCUUUUUUGUGUGUGCCAAAGUGAUGGCCAGUACAAAUCCAUGUCUAAUUAAGUCCAGAAGAGCUCCUUCAAUAAGCGUAAGAUGAAAGUUAUGAGUGAUAAGAAAGCGUCAUGUCAGUUUAAUUGGCAGCAUUUUCUCUUUCUUAGUGGUUCAUAAAAUAAGGCAGUGCUUUGCUAUCGACGGUGUCUGAAAUUCUGUGAAUAUUCAAAGUUAAAUCUCAUGCUGAACAGCCACUGUGCGCAAGGCGGGUGA